RNAcentral lists this ribosomal RNA (489 nucleotides) under uncultured bacterium. RNAcentral describes it as "partial 16S ribosomal RNA". It matches the Rfam family "Bacterial small subunit ribosomal RNA", at positions 28 to 507 of the family's 1533-position model. The record is from RNAcentral.
GAUGAACGCUAGCUACAGGCUUAACACAUGCAAGUCGAGGGGCAGCAUGAUUGAAGCUUGCUUCAAUCGAUGGCGACCGGCGCACGGGUGAGUAACACGUAUCCAACCUGCCGAUAACUCGGGGAUAGCCUUUCGAAAGAAAGAUUAAUACCCGAUAGUAUAGUAUUUCCGCAUGGUUUCACUAUUAAAGAACUUCGGUUAUCGAUGGGGAUGCGUUCCAUUAGAUAGUUGGCGGGGUAACGGCCCACCAAGUCAACGAUGGAUAGGGGUUCUGAGAGGAAGGUCCCCCACAUUGGAACUGAGACACGGUCCAAACUCCUACGGGAGGCAGCAGUGAGGAAUAUUGGUCAAUGGACGAGAGUCUGAACCAGCCAAGUAGCGUGAAGGAUGACUGCCCUAGGGGUGGUAAACUUCUUUUAUACGGGAAUAAAGUGGAGUAUGCAUACUCCUUUGUAUGUACCGUAUGAAUAAGGAUCGGCUAACUCCGUG